GAAUCUGCAGGCAGAAUAUGAUCGUCUCAAGGAGCAGCAUGAACAUAAAGGCCUGUCCCCACUGCCGUCCCCUCCUGAGAUGAUGCCCACCUCGCCACAAAGUCCCCGGGAUGCUGAGCUCAUUGCUGAGGCCAAGCUACUGCGUCAACACAAAGGCCGCCUGGAAGCCAGGAUGCAAAUCCUGGAAGACCACAAUAAACAGCUGGAGUCCCAGUUACACAGGCUCAGGCAGCUGCUGGAGCAACCCCAGGCCGAGGCCAAGGUGAAUGGCACAACGGUGUCCUCUCCUUCUACCUCUCUUCAGAGGUCAGACAGCAGCCAGCCUAUGCUGCUCCGGGUGGUUGGCAGUCAAACUUCAGAAUCCAUGGGCGAGGAAGACCUUCUCAGUCCUCCCCAGGACUCAAGCACAGGGUUAGAGGAAGUGAUGGAGCAACUCAACAACUCCUUCCCUAGUUCCAGAGGAAGAAAUACCCCUGGGAAGCCAAUGAGAGAGGACACAAUGUAGGAAGCCUUUUCCACUUGGCAGAUGAUUUGGGCAGAGCGAUGGAGUCCUUAGUUUCAGUUAUGACAGAUGAAGAAGGGGCAGAAUAAAUGUUUUACAACUCCUGAUUCCCGCAUGGUUUUUAUAAUAUUCAUACAACCAAGAGGAUUAGACAGUAAGAGUUUACAAGAAAAAAAAAAUCUAUAUUUUUGUGAAGGGUAGUGGUACUAUACUGUAGAUUUCAGUAGUUUCUAAGUCUGUUAUUGUUUUGUUAACAAUGGCAGGUUUUACACGUCUAUGCAAUUGUACAAAAAGUUAUAAGAAAACUACAUGUAAAAUCUUGAUAGCUAAAUAACUUGCCAUUUCUUUAUAUGGAACGCAUUUUGGGUUGUUUAAAAAUUUAUAACAGUUAUAAAGAAAGAUUGUAAACUAAUGUGUGCUUUAUAAAAAAAAAGUUGUUUAUAAAAACCCCUAAAAACAAACACAUACCUACACACACACACACACACGCACACACAAACACACAAACACAAACUGAGGCAGCGCAUUGUUUUGCAUCCUUUUAGCGUGAUAUCCAUAUGAAAUUCAUGGAUUUUUUUUUCUUUUCUUGCAUAUUAAAGAUAGGACUUCCUCUAAGACCACCAAAUGACUACUUCGCAUAGCUCUGUUUGGAAUUGUUGACUGAGUGGGACUGGCCAUGGGUUUUCGUUUUACACAUCUAUAUGUCUAUCAGUAUGUAAGCACUGUAGGUAUACAGGUAAAUAUAAAUUUCAAGAGACAUUUAAAAUUUCUUGUUCAAAUAUUCUUGCCACUUCCUAAUGGGAAGAAAUUGCUUCUCAUCACCCAGGCUCACCUGCUUGGUCUAGAAUGAAUCCUCCCUGGAGCCUGAAGCCAGAAGGAAACUACCACACUAAAACAUGGUCUAGGGUUCCAGAUGUUUCUCAUUUUGAACUUUCCAGUGACAACUAGAGUAUUGAAUUUUUUUAAGGGACAUAUGAAUGAAUACACAGGACUUAUUAUGUCAGAGUAAUCCACUAGUUGAUACAUUCAGCUUCCUGCUGCUGACAAUGCCAUGGUUUAGAGUUAGUGAUGCUUUGAUGAAAGAGCAUCUGAAGGCAUUUUUAACUCCCAGGAGGGCUGUAGAUUCCCUCAGAGAGAGCAGACCACUCUUUAUGUAAAGGAUUGGACGACUGUUUAUAACCUUACAGAGAGAGCUUUAUAAUUACAACGCAGUUAUUUUCUCACAGUCAAACAGCAGUGGGUGUCUCAGUUUUCCAGUUUUGUAAGAUUUUUUUCCCCAUUGCAAUGAGUUUGUAAAUGCCACAAGACUUAAUUUAAAAUAACCCUUGUGAAAAUGUGAAAGACAGUUGCCCCAUCACAUUAUGACACUGUUAAAUAUCCACCCAGACGCCCAAGACCCCUGUGUUCCAGUUCGGCAUUUUUCUCUGUAAGUAAGUCCAGGCAGGUUUGUUGAGUGGGAACGCAAAUGGAUUCAAAUGUUCCAAGAGGUACUCCAAACCCCUUUUUGGUGGAUUAGGCAGGUUAAAUAUAUAUAAGUGAACAGAAAUUGUUCGAAAAGAGGAGUACAGGCAAGAGGACUAACUGGUAGGAAAAAAAGCUUUACUCUUUCAUUCUGUCUUAUUAGUCUUUCACUCUUUUUUAUCAUCCAUUCAAUAGAAAUCACCCUGUGAUCUAUCAUUUUGCAAAUCUGUUACCUCUUACAUCAAGUGUAAUUAACUUUUGGAGAGUGGGUUUUGUUCCUUAUUUUACUAAUGAUAAUUAACAUCAAACAUGGCUUCUCAUGCUAUUUCUACCUCACUUUGGUUUUGGGGUGUUCCUAAUAAUUGUGCAACCUGAUUUCACAGCUUCACCACCUGUCCAUUGUGUGAACAUUUUCCUCCAUUUUCUUUUUCCUUUAUAAUUUCCAAAAGAAAACCCAAAGCUCUAAGGUAACAAAUGACAUGAAGAUUUGAUUUUAGUCUUGGCAUUUUUUUUCCUUAAUGUGACACUGGACUUUUUCUUUACCUGAGGUUUUGGGCUUUUUUUUUUUUUUUUUUAACCAUGAUUUAAAACAAGGGGUUACUUUAUUUCCUACUAAGAAGUUUAAGUUUCAUUCUAAAAUCAGAGGUAAAUAGAGUGCUUGAUUUUGUUUUAAUCUUUUUUGUUUUAUUUUAUCUUUUAGACAUUAGUUCUGGAGUGAGUCUCAAAAUAUUUGAAUAAAAACUGAGAGCUUUAUUGCUACAUUUUACACAUUAAUUUGGACAUUAUUUCAUGUUCCUUAUAACCACCAAGUAGUAAACUGUAAGUCAUAAUGUAACUGAAACAUAAACAUCACAUGGCAUGUUAUGUCAUUGUUUUCAGGUACUGGGUUCUUACUUGCGUAUCGUAAUAUAUUGUGUUUUAACACCAACACUGUAACAUUUACUAAUUAUUUUUUUAAAACUUCAGUUUUACUGCAUUUUCACAACAUAUCAGACUUCACCAAAUAUAUGCCUUACUAUUGUAUUAUAUUACUGCUUUACUGUGUAUUCUCAAUAAAGCACGCAGUUAUGUUACAAAAAAUGUCGACUGCAUUGUUUUUAUUUUAAUUUAGUCACUUUUACAUAGAUAAUACUUUCAUAUUGUCAAAAAAUGAAAAAUGUACACAGCCAGUGAAAAGACCCUCACUACCUUAUUCCCACUUCAUCCUCACUGCCUUCUGAAUAAAUG
RNAcentral lists this long non-coding RNA (3190 nucleotides) under Capra hircus (goat). RNAcentral's name for it is "lncRNA (ENSCHIG00000004277.1)". Lineage: Eukaryota; Metazoa; Chordata; Mammalia; Artiodactyla; Bovidae. The record is from RNAcentral.